RNAcentral lists this ribosomal RNA (301 nucleotides) under uncultured bacterium. RNAcentral describes it as "partial 16S ribosomal RNA". It matches the Rfam family "Bacterial small subunit ribosomal RNA", at positions 509 to 807 of the family's 1533-position model. The record is from RNAcentral.
CAGCAGCCACGGUAAUGCGGAGGGGGCUAGCGUUGUUCGGAAUUACUGGGCGUAAAGCGCACGUAGGCGGCUUGGUAAGUUAGAGGUGAAAGCCUGGAGCUCAACUCCAGAAUUGCCUUUAAGACUGCCGAGCUAGCAGGUGAGAGAGGUAAGUGGAAUUCCGAGUGUAGAGGUGAAAUUCGUAGAUAUUCGGAAGAACACCAGUGGCGAAGGCGGCUUACUGGCUCAUACUGGACGCUGAGGUGCGAAAGCGUGGGGAGCAAACAGGAUUAGAUACCCCCGUAGUCCCUGUCUCUUAUAC